Molecule: ribosomal RNA, 253 nt
Filed under: uncultured bacterium
Lineage: Bacteria
Description: partial 16S ribosomal RNA
Rfam family: Bacterial small subunit ribosomal RNA
Source: RNAcentral
UACGUAGGGUGCGAGCGUUAAUCGGAAUUACUGGGCGUAAAGCGUGCGCAGGCGGUUCUUUGUGUCCGAUGUGAAAGCCCCGGGCUUAACCUGGGAAUGGCAUUGGAAACUGGCGGGCUUGAGUGCGGCAGAGGGGGGUGGAAUUCCGCGUGUAGCAGUGAAAUGCGUAGAGAUGCGGAGGAACACCGAUGGCGAAGGCAGCCCCCUGGGUCGACACUGACGCUCAGGCACGAAAGCGUGGGGAGCAAACAGG